This is a long non-coding RNA of Beta vulgaris subsp. vulgaris (sugar beet), 3513 nucleotides long. RefSeq lists it as uncharacterized. NCBI's taxonomy places the organism in Eukaryota, Viridiplantae, Streptophyta, Magnoliopsida, Caryophyllales, Amaranthaceae. The transcript has 6 exons. The record is from RefSeq and is a predicted model, not a curated record.
CUCAGCCACGCAAUUUAUUUCCUCCUUACUUCAGUCAUCUCCUUUCUCUCUCUCUUUUCAUUUCAUUUUCCUGUCAACCUCCAUCUACCUCCAUCUCCCAUGGAACUCAAACUCCAAAACCCAACAACAACACCAUUUCCCUUUUCUCUCUCGCAUUUCUUUCAAUCUGAUCUUCCGGCGAACAUGACAGAUCAAAUGAGGCCUUCUUACGCAACCUAAACGCUGCUGUUCAGGGUCGCACCAAAGCUCAGAAUCCCACUAAUGUCCUUCGGUCUAAGAUGAUUUUGAAUGUGAGUUAAGGGAGCUGCGAAUAAUGGACAAUCUUGAAGAAGAAGAAGAUGGUGCAGAGAAAACCAAGCAGGCCUGCAGAAGAUGCUGAGGAGCUUACCAAUGUUCCUUUACAAGCCAUUCUUUUGGCUGAUACCUUUGCCACUAGAUUUCGCCCUAUUACCCUUGAAAGUCCCAAGCCAAGUAAAGGAGAGAGUCAAUGCUUUCGCCAGUUUCUCUAUUCAAGUGAGAAGAUAAUAUUGCUCCUGCCAAGCAAGGCUUGGAGCUUGUUUCCGUGUUCAGGCUAGCUCAUUAUGAUGUUUUUUUAUUAUAACUUCCACUUCAGGCAAGCUUAUUCUUCUCUUUUUUUCCUUCAGCAGAUAUGAAUUUCUUUCUAUCUUCUCUCUUUUGAUUUCUUCAUUUACUCUUGCUUCGGAUUAUUACCUUGUGUUGACUAUUUGUUGUGGUUUGUAUGAUUUCUUUGUCUUCGUGUUUUUAACACGUGCAAAUGCAGCCGAGACUCAACCACCAUCAUAAUUAGAGUCACCAAAGUUGUAAAUGGCAAAAAGUUGGCAUCUUCCGAUGACCCAAUGACCUGGUUGCUUCGUGGUUCAAAAGAUUGAACUAAUGCGAACCCAACUGCCACUGCUUGGAGUUGGAUUUUAAGACUCCUACUGGUACUAAUAAAAAUCCAUAUCAACUCUUGAGUGUUUUAAGGAUGACAUGAAAUGAGAGAGAGAGAAAACACUAUCUUUGAGUCACUUAUGGUAAGCUUUGAUGAAGAGGGAACAAAGCUGAAGAGUGAACACUAUGUAUGAGAGAAUUAAAACCAGGUUGUUUUUAGCAAAAACCAGCUCUCAUUUCAUCUAGAAUUUACUACUCAUCUUAAAUUGGUGUUCAUCCAAGGGUUUCGUUUAGUAAUGUGAUAGAACCAGGUUGUGUACUACAGCGAUGUGGAAUGUAGAUGAAUCAUAAUUCAAUUUAGCCCAAUGGAUAUAAGAUUUGUGGUGGUGGCUGUUGGGGAAUGACCUAGGUGACACUCUCGCGAACUCGAUGAAAGGGAAAAUUAAAGAGAGCUAGGUAACAUCUUUGUGGCCUUGCAUACUUGAUGCUAUAUUGAUGUGCUCAGAAUUUGCUUGCUUAGCCUUAUUCUGCUACUAUUCCAGUUGUGGGCGAUGUGGCUGCUUGAAUGGUAGUGAAGACUAUCAUCUACUGCUUUCAGCCUUUGUUUCGAUGGCUAUAUAAGUACUAGAGGUCUGAAACUUUGUCAUUUUGAUGUAUUCGUGGACCAUCAUUUUGGAGAGUAGCAUUGAGCUUGUAUUUCAGAAAAAAAUGCUUACAUGGAGUACAAAAAGGUGGAGGAGGAUAGCUGAGGGGGAAUGGGAGGAUGUGCCAACUCCUUUUGUUCUUUUAAAAAAAAAAUCCAUAAAACCUUUUAGAAUUGUUGAAUUCAAUAGUGAAAUGGGUGAUGAUUCCUUGAAAUACACUAUAGAUAAGCAUUGGCAAAUCUCCACCCUUACCUGUUCUUCCAUCUGAGCCACACGUUCUUUUAUUUCUCUCCUCUUUUUCACGUCUCUAUUCGGUCUCCUCAAUCCUCUCUCCUCUCUCUAUUCCUUGCCUCAUUAGUUGUCUCUCUCCUCUUUUUCAGUUUUUUUUUUAUUGCUAUGGAGUUAUGGAGCGCCAUUAAAGGUGAAUCUCGCUCUCCUCUUCAAUAUGACUUGUAGUAUUGUGUUUUGCUUUGGAUUUUUUAUCGAUGCUAAUUCAGUUCUUGUGAUUGUCAUAUUUUGAGUUAGGGUUCUUAAUUUUUCUUUCCGAUUUUUGUAAUUUUUUUCUUUUAAAAAUCUUUGAUCUAAUUUGAAUUGAAGGGGUGACCAUGGUUUUGAUAGAUUUUAGUUUUUGAUACAAUUUUUUGUGAUUUCUCGGUUAGGUUCUCCUUCUACGCCAAAUCAAAGCUCUACCUAAUCCUAUGACCUUCGAUGAAGCUUCCAUGUUCGUUAAGGCUUUGCAGGAUCUAAAGGUGUACUUUGGUUGGUUCUGAGGUUGAAAUUUGAGAUCCACAUGCCUUCAAACUCAUCUAAAACGGCUGAGUACAUCAAAGUUGAUCUUCAACAACACUCCUGAAUUCAAUUCCCGAAAACCCCUCUAACUGAAUUUCUCUCUCGUUCCAAUCAAAGCCUUAUCAUCUUCAAAAUCUCCCACAAAUAGCACCAACACCCGCAACCCAUACCCAAAACGGUCCUUAGAAGGUUGGAAAUCAAAGAAAGCACUUCAACAACCCGAAUACCCAGACCCGAAUGAGUUGGAUUUGGUUCUUAAAACACUUGAAUUUUUCCCACCCAUUGUAUGUGCAGGUGAAGCUAGAAGCCUUGAAGAAAGAAUUGGUCAAGCUGCGAUGGGAAAAGUUUUUUUACUUCAAGGUGGAGAUUGUGCUGAGAGUUUUAAGGAGUUUAGUCUAAUAAUGUUAAAGAUUCUUUCAGGCUUCUUCUACAGAUGAGUGUUCUUAUGUUUGGUGGUUAAAUGCUUGUUGUCAAGGGGUGUUAACGAGCCGAACCUGAAUAGGCUCGACUCGAGAAGGGGCAGGACCAGGCUCAAAAAUAUGGGCUCGGCUCGAGCUCGAAACAAAAAAAUCCAGCUCGGCUCGAGAAAGUUUGUGAACUAUUAGGCUCGAAAAAAAGCGCGAGAAAAAUUUAUAUGUAUUUCGACGAGACUGUUUUGUGGAAUACAGGACUACAACAAAAAAAAGGAAUACAUGACUAUAGUAGAUGAAAUUAGCCAAAACAAAGUUGGCUAACUCAAAGAAAUUCACCUACAACACUUAUAUAUCAAAGGAGGAAAUAAAAUAAAAGGUAAAAGAAAAACAAAAAUAAGAAAGGGAGGAGAAAGCACUCAGGAUGAAGAAACGAAAAACAAAAAAGACGUAAUUCAUGAGAUGACAUCAACCAAAACAAAGUUGGUUGCUUGCAUGUUGCUGCUUGCCGCACACUUCUUGCCGGCACUAUGAGGCACACCAAGUCUCAGCCCCCAAGUGUGCAAAUGGUAGAUUAGGGAUUUAGGGUUGAAGCUAAAUAAAAACCCUUGAACGGCUGGGAAGUUGAUAUUCCUUUCUAUACUUAGGUAUUUGUUUUUGUAUUUUUAGGUCGUUUGGAAAUUUUUUGGUUUGUAUUUUUUUUGUGGGCUGGAGUGAAUUUAUGAUCCGAGUUGGAAUAAUAAUCAACUAGAAUUAUUUGCACGCGAUGCGUGCUUGAA